This 520-nucleotide ribosomal RNA is filed under the name uncultured Glomus. Its description in RNAcentral is "SSU rRNA". It matches the Rfam family "Eukaryotic small subunit ribosomal RNA", at positions 569 to 1090 of the family's 1831-position model. Lineage: Eukaryota; Fungi; Glomeromycota; Glomeromycetes; Glomerales; Glomeraceae. The record is from RNAcentral.
AGCAGCCGCGGUAAUUCCAGCUCCAAUAGCGUAUAUUAAAGUUGUUGCAGUUAAAAAGCUCGUAGUUGAAUUUCGGGAUCAUCAGGUCGGUCGUGCCUCCGGUAUGUACUGGUCUCGAUGGUUCCUCCUUCUUGUAGAACCGUAAUGCCAUUAAUUUGGUGUUGCGGGGAAACAGGACUGUUACUUUGAAAAAUUAGAGUGUUUAAAGCAGGCGAUCGCUUGAAUACAUUAGCACGGAAUAAUGAAAUAGGACGUUCGAUCCUAUUUUGUUGGUUUCUAGGAUUGACGUAAUGAUUAAUAGGGAUAGUUGGGGGCAUUAGUAUUCAAUUGUCAGAGGUGAAAUUCUUGGAUUUAUUGAAGACUAACUACUGCGAAAGCAUUUGCCAAGGAUGUUUUCAUUAAUCAAGAACGAAAGUUAGGGGAUCGAAGACGAUCAGAUACCGUCGUAGUCUUAACCAUAAACUAUGCCGACUAGGGAUCGGAUGAUGUUAAUUUUUUAAUGUACUCAUUCGGCGCCUUA